GAUGAACGCUAGCUACAGGCUUAACACAUGCAAGUCGAGGGGCAGCAUGAAAGGAACUUCGGUUCUUUUUGAUGGCGACCGGCGCACGGGUGCGUAACGCGUAUCGAACCUGCCUCAUACUCGGGGAUAGCCUUGCGAAAGUAAGAUUAAUACCCGGCGGUCUCGGAUGGCCGCAUGACUGUCCGAGUGAAGAUUUAUCGGUAUGAGAUGGCGAUGCGUCCCAUUAGCUUGUUGGUGGGGUAACGGCUCACCAAGGCAUCGAUGGGUAGGGGUUCUGAGAGGAAGGUCCCCCACAUUGGAACUGAGACACGGUCCAAACUCCUACGGGAGGCAGCAGUGAGGAAUAUUGGUCAAUGGACGAAAGUCUGAACCAGCCAAGUAGCGUGCAGGAUGACGGCCCUCUGGGUUGUAAACUGCUUUUAGUUGGGAAUAAAAAGAGGGACGUGUCCCUUAUUGUAUGUACCAUCAGAAAAAGGACCGGCUAAUUCCGUGCCAGCAGCCGCGGUAAUACGGAAGGUCCAGGCGUUAUCCGGAUUUAUUGGGUUUAAAGGGAGCGCAGGCGGCGGCGUAAGUCAGUUGUGAAAUCGUGCGGCUUAACCGUGCAAUUGCAGUUGAUACUGCGUCGCUAGAGUGCACACAGGGAUGUUGGAAUUCAUGGUGUAGCGGUGAAAUGCUUAGAUAUCAUGAAGAACUCCGAUCGCGAAGGCAUAUGUCCGGAGUGCAACUGACGCUGAGGCUCGAAAGUGUGGGUAUCAAACAGG
Molecule: ribosomal RNA, 761 nt
Filed under: uncultured bacterium
Lineage: Bacteria
Description: bacterial SSU rRNA
Rfam family: Bacterial small subunit ribosomal RNA
Source: RNAcentral